Molecule: ribosomal RNA, 200 nt
Filed under: uncultured bacterium
Lineage: Bacteria
Description: partial 16S ribosomal RNA
Rfam family: Bacterial small subunit ribosomal RNA
Source: RNAcentral
AUUGAACGCUAGCGGGAUGCCUUACACAUGCAAGUCGAACAGCAGCACGGACUUCGGUCUGGUGGCGAGUGGCGAACGGGUGAGUAAUGUAUCGGAACGUGCCCAGUAGCGGGGGAUAACUACGCGAAAGCGUAGCUAAUACCGCAUACGCCCUACGGGGAAAGCAGGGGAUCGCAAGACCUUGCACUAUUGGAGCGGCC